GACAGAAAGAAGACGUCAGAUAACGAAGCCACGCAGAACCAGUGAGUAACCGCCUGGAGAUUUUCGACUCAACAUGCCGUCGAUUACCGAGAGAGAGAAAGAACAUGCUUGACAAGCUUCAGAGAUAGCUGUGUCCGUGGCUGCUGACCCCCUCCUCCCUCACCGCCGGCCUGAGCUGCUCAAAUACAC
Thunnus maccoyii (southern bluefin tuna) is the source of this 189-nucleotide long non-coding RNA. RefSeq lists it as uncharacterized. The record is from RefSeq and is a predicted model, not a curated record. Lineage: Eukaryota; Metazoa; Chordata; Actinopteri; Scombriformes; Scombridae. The transcript has 3 exons.